GAACCCGGUGCUAAAUCAUU
RNAcentral lists this unclassified non-coding RNA (20 nucleotides) under Gallus gallus (chicken). RNAcentral describes it as "gga-nc-19 microRNA". The record is from RNAcentral. Lineage: Eukaryota; Metazoa; Chordata; Aves; Galliformes; Phasianidae.